GACUCUAGCUGGAGACGGUAAAGCAAGAUGUCAGAGGGAGCGAACAGAGUGCUAAUCAAGUCAGUGAUAUAACAGCAUCAUCAGUUGUGUCCUGCAGUCAAGAGAAGGGAGGUCUUCCAGAAAAGAAUCCCCCCAGUCCCGUUCACUCUGAGAGGGAUGCACUGCUAAUCGGGAUCAUUUCAACCUUCCUGCACGUGCACCCGUUUGGAGCCAGCAUCGAGUACAUCUGUUCCUACCUGCAGCGUUUGGACACCAAGAUUAACCCCAGCGAGGUGGAGGCUCUUCUUUCUCGGCUGCCGUGCACCUUCAGACAGGAGCUGUCUGGUGUCGGAGCCAGUUUAGAGAAACGCUGGAACUUCUGCGGCUUCCAGGGCAUUAAGAGCACAUAGACUCUGCUGGUGACACUUCUGGGACAUGGAAGAGAUGACAGGCAUACAAGGCAACACAGGUACAUGGAAGACACUGUGGAAAUGUGGAGGGAGCCCAUAACUAAUGGAGCCGCAGGGCUCCACCUUCCCAGACAAGAGCACAAAUUAUUCACUGCAGAACUCAGAUCAGCAAGGGGUGUUCUGUGUAGGUGGCAGAGAGAUAAAUAUAAAGGUUUUUCUGAUGGCAAAUUAAUUAAAUUAAUUGGCAGCAUCUCUAUGGUGACCAAGCGUUGGAUGUAUCUCUAUGGUGACAGUCUCACUCUCUCCUCUUUUUUUCUCAUGGGAUUCAACGAAAAGUCCCUUCAGAGAGCCAAUCUCAGCAGAGUCAUGGGAUUUGGUGUAUUUUUUAUACUUGAGCUUACAGUUGGCCCAGCGUACUGGCAGACCUGGACUUAAGAACGACACAGGAGGGUCAUCAGGGUCAACUUUCAACCUCGAAACUCUCUGGCGUCCUUUAUUGCCUCUACUCGAUUUUGUACAAUCGUGUAAAACAGCUAAACCUAAACAGCUGCAAAUGUUAAAAUAAAGAUGACAGACAUGU
Long non-coding RNA from Micropterus dolomieu (smallmouth bass), 969 nucleotides. RefSeq lists it as uncharacterized. The transcript has 4 exons. NCBI's taxonomy places the organism in Eukaryota, Metazoa, Chordata, Actinopteri, Centrarchiformes, Centrarchidae. The record is from RefSeq and is a predicted model, not a curated record.